GUCUGCGUGGCCUGCUCGGCUCAGAGGCCUCCACCACGGUCCGCUCCCUGCCGGACGCCGCGCUGCUGUGGCCGCGGUGGUUCUGUGGCUGUGAGGGCCGUUUCUGUCCGUCCACACCGCCUUCCCUCUGCAGAUUUCCUCUGCAGAGGCCCGGAGUUACCAGCAAGGUCUGACGCAGCAGAGUGCAGAAACGGCCUCCCUGUCUGUCAAAGUGGCCUCCCGAGGACACCCAGCGAGGCCACCAGAUCAUCACGUGGAGUAUCGGUGGCCUUAUUAAAACAAAAACAACAACUCCACAGCCCGGCGAGCGCAGCCCAAAGGGAUGAGAAGAUGGAUAUGGCCCGGAGAUAAUGCACACCUCUCGUGGGGACAGUGUCCCCAUCCCCCUCCGGCUGCACUGAAGACCUGGAGCAAUGGCUGCCAUCCAUGCGCGAGGACCCCUCGGAGGUUCCACCUGCACAGACCUUGCUAAGGGUGAGGUGAUUACUAGAAGGAGCACCUUUUCUAGUUAAAAUCUAACUAGAUUCUCCUUGGCAACUUGUCUUACAGAAACAGAAAGACUGUGGGGAGAGUCCGUUUUCUUAGAGCCGUAUGAAGAAAUCCUAAAAACCAACUGCCCAAUCUCAACUCGUAACAGGGAACCUGGGGAGUGACAUCAGAGAUUCCCAAUGUUUUCCUCCUCGUUGAUCCCUGCGAUGAAGGCACUUGCCCAUGUGUAUUCUGUAGUAGGAGUUUGCAUUCUGAAACUGGUCUUUAUUAAAG
This 762-nucleotide long non-coding RNA is filed under the name Homo sapiens (human). RNAcentral's name for it is "non-protein coding lnc-NDUFS6-5:4". The record is from RNAcentral. Lineage: Eukaryota; Metazoa; Chordata; Mammalia; Primates; Hominidae.